This is a non-coding RNA of Mycena latifolia, 89 nucleotides long. Lineage: Eukaryota; Fungi; Basidiomycota; Agaricomycetes; Agaricales; Mycenaceae. The record is from the annotation of a GenBank genome assembly.
GACUCGAUGGCGGAUGGCCCACACCUGCGAUUUGUACGCAAUAUUGACCUCUCCCGCAAGAGUUGCCUGUUCGAAUCAGGCUCGAGUCA